This 487-nucleotide ribosomal RNA is filed under the name uncultured bacterium. RNAcentral describes it as "partial 16S ribosomal RNA". It matches the Rfam family "Bacterial small subunit ribosomal RNA", at positions 29 to 507 of the family's 1533-position model. The record is from RNAcentral.
AGUGAACGCUGGCGGUAGGCCUAACACAUGCAAGUCGAACGGCAGCACAGUAAGAGCUUGCUCUUACGGGUGGCGAGUGGCGGACGGGUGAGGAAUACAUCGGAAUCUACUUUUUCGUGGGGGAUAACGUAGGGAAACUUACGCUAAUACUGCAUACGACCUACGGGUGAAAGCAGGGGAUCUUCGGACCUUGCGUGAUUGAAUGAGACGAUGUCGGAUUAGCUAGUUGGCGGGGUAAAGGCCCACCAAGGCGACGAUCCGUAGGUGGUCUGAGAGGAGGAGCCCCAACACUGGUACUGAGACACGGACCAGACUCAUACGGGAGGAAGGAGUGAGGAAUAUUGGACAAUGGGUUAGAGCCUGAUCCAGCCAUCGCGGGGGAAGGACGACGGCCGUAUGGGUUGUAAACUUCUUUGGUAUAGGGAUAAAACUACUCUCGUGAGAGUAGCUGAAGGGACUAUAAGAAUAAGGACCGGCUAACUCCGUG